CCACCCCUGGAACGGGGUGACCUUCACCACACGUGCGUCCUGAGUAAUCGGGGGGUGCGGAGCUGUGGUUAAACGUCCCGUGCCCCGGCACACAGGUCAUGCGCGAGCUUGGCCGACUCACAGAACAAGACUGUGCGGAGACG
Molecule: non-coding RNA, 143 nt
Organism: Polaromonas sp. JS666
Lineage: Bacteria; Pseudomonadati; Pseudomonadota; Betaproteobacteria; Burkholderiales; Comamonadaceae
Source: Rfam